This 300-nucleotide ribosomal RNA is filed under the name uncultured Pyrobaculum sp. RNAcentral describes it as "bacterial SSU rRNA". The stretch from base 60 to 300 matches the Rfam family "Bacterial small subunit ribosomal RNA", at positions 555 to 795 of the family's 1533-position model. Lineage: Archaea; Thermoproteati; Thermoproteota; Thermoprotei; Thermoproteales; Thermoproteaceae. The record is from RNAcentral.
GGAAAGGAGGGGGGAGGAGGCGGGGGAGUGCGUAGGGAGGAGGCGUGGGUCGGAAGAGGUGGGGGGAAAGGGCGGGGAGGCGGCGUGUGGAGUGGGGUGGGAAAGCCCGGGGCUUAACCCGGGGGCUGAAGUCGAUACGGGCAGGCUAGAGUUCGGUAGGGGAGAUCGGAAUUCCUGGUGUAGCGGUGAAAUGCGCAGAUAUCAGGAGGAACACCGGUGGCGAAGGCGGAUCUCUGGGCCGAUACUGACGCUGAGGAGCGAAAGCGUGGGGAGCGAACAGGAUUAGAUACCCCUGUAGUC